CCCAAAAAUUUUUUUUAAAUAAUGGGAAGCCAUUAUUUAAAAAACAAGAGAAGCCACCGCAAUGAGAAGCUCGCGUGCUGCAACAAAGAGUAGCCCCCGCUCGCCACAACUACAGAAAGCCUGCACACAGCAAUGAAGACCCGACACAGCCAAGACGAUAAUAAUAAUAAUAGUAAUAAUAGUAAUAAUGGUCGGCAAUGCCAACAAAGAAGGACAAAAAAGAAAAACAAAAGACUGUACAUACGCGUGAUCAAGCGAAUCCACAUCUAGAGUGGAUUUUCCAAAAGUGUGAGGACAUUAUUUCCAGCCCCACGUUCUCCUCCAGCACUUUGCCCCUCCACUGUCAAGAGGUGGAUUCUAUUUCCCUCCCCUUGGGACCUGAUGGGACUUGGGGGCUGCCUCACUGCAGGCCUGACUUCCAAGGCAAGGUCACAAAGGCAAGAAGCCUGGCUCUCCCUCAGAACCCACCUCUGGGCUCCGCCACCAUGUUGUAAGGAAGCCCAGGCCACCUGAGGGGCCACAUGCAAAGUCUGGUUCCAGCCAUGGUCCCAGCCAGCAGCCAACAUCGCCUGCCAGCCCCGUGAGUGGGCAAGACCCCUUCAGAGUCCCCGCCAUGAACUGCCACAGUUGACACCUGCUGAGGCAGGGACACCCAUCCCGACUGAGCUCAGCAGGGCAAAACUGCAGAUCUGUGAGCAAAAAUAAAUGUCAUCAUUUUAGGUUACUCAGAUUUGGUGUAACUGGUUAUGCAUCUUUAGGAACUGAGACAGAUUCCAGUAACUGGGACAGAUAGGUAUUUCAGACUUAACUGAACAUGUGCAAAAUGACAUAUUCCCCACAGCAUGGUUUAAAAUAACAAAAGAUUGGAGACAACCUACUGUUCCAGCAACAGAAUAUGGAUUACAUUAUAGUAUAUACACAGUGGAAUACUCUGCAACUGUACAAAAACGAGGAUGUUUCAAAUGCAUUAAUGUGAUUUUUCAAGAUAUAUCAUUAAAGUGAAGAAACAAAGCAGAAAAAUGUGCAUAUAUGCUAUUCAUUAGAUAAAAAGAAAAAAAAUAUGUCUUUGUUUAUAUGUGCAUAAAAUAUUUCUGAAAGGACCCAUAAGAUUGUGACAGCAUUACCUCUGGAGGGCACCCGGCUGUCUGGGGGUGGGGAGGGGAAUCUCUGCUACGUUCCUCUUUCAGUACCUGUCAAUUUUGUAACCAAGUAAAUGUUCAUCUACCUAAAAAAAACUGAUCAAUUAUUUUUAAAUGUGUAAAGGCCUUUUGAUAUGCUGGACAUGGUGAUAUAGAGAUGAAAGACUGCUGCUCACCAUCAUAACAUUCACCUUAUUUUUCUACAAUUAAGGGAAACAGUAAAGUACGACAGUAAAGAGUGAGGUUCUAGAAUCGGGCUUCUGGGGUUCAAAUCCUGCUUCUGCUCUGUGACCUUGGGCAAGUUACUCAAAUGACCGAUUCUUUAGUUUCCUCCUCUGUACAGUGGGGAGUGAUGGUGCACUCAGUUCAAGAUAUUUUCCAAUUUGUGUGAAUUAUUUAGAAAUGUUAAUUUCCAGGAUUUUCUAGGUGUUUUGGCUUGUUUUUGAUUUCUAGCUUUAUUGCAUGUAGUUCUAGAGCAUGUUUCUCAUGAUUUCACGCAUGCUUUGUAUGAAAUUUGAUGAGAUUCAGUUUAAGACCCAGUAUACAGCAAAUUUUGGAAAAUAACAUAGGUUAUUGGAUGCAGUGUUUUAUGUGUCCAUUGACUUUUUGUAUUGUCAACUCUUCCAUAUUGCUACUGAAUUUUUAAUCACUCAGAGGAUGUGUUUAAAAUAGCCCAUUGAGAAUUUGGACUGGUAUCUAUUCAUUUUUGUAGUUCUGUUAAACUUUUCUUCACAUAUUUUGAUGCAUGUUAUUAGGGUUUGUAAUUUCAUGCCCUGUGUGUGUAAUGCCUACUAUGUACAUACAUGGCGGGCAUUGUUCUAAGUGCUUUAAAUAUAUGCUAACUCUGUUAUCCUCUUAACCAUCCUACAAGGUAGUUAACUAUUAGUAUCCCAUUUACGUGUGGAAACCGAAGAAUACAGAGACUAAGCAAUUUGCUGAAGAUUACACUUAUGGUAAGUAGCCGAGCUGGAAUUUGAACAGACUGAGUCUGGAACUUGUUCUUUUAACCAAACUGACAUUGUUCUACUGAAAGAGCUUCUAUCAUUAUGACACGAGCUUCGUUCUGGUGAUUAUCUUUGCCUUAAAUCUAUUUUGUCUAAUAUUUAUAAUGCUCCAGUGGCUUUUUUUUUUUUUUGAUUAACAUCUUCCAGCAUUAACAGCAUCUUUUACUGUCCUUUUACUUUCAACAUCUGUAUUCUUAUGUUUUAGAUAUGCCUCUUGUUAGCAAAUAUUUGGAUUUUUUCCUCAUUCUGACAGUUUCUGUGUUUUAAAUGGAAAAACUUUAAUGGGUCAUUACUCUAAGAAUUACAAUAUGAAAGCUUAAUUUAUCAAAGUCUAAAGUUAGUCAAUAAUUUUCCGCAGAGGUAAUAAAAAUAUUUGGUUUAUGACACACACGGACCAAUCAGAACCCCAGUGGCCAGUUCACUUGGGAUGAUGUACAGGUUCACGCCGCCUGGGUGCCAGCCCUGUCUGCUCACUCCUUCAGGACAAUACAAGGGUCUUUGCAGCAUUUAUCCCUGUUUUAGCUCAGCUGCCGUAAUGAAGUACCACAGCCUGCGUGGCUUAAACGGCAGAAAUGUAUUCUCUCACGGUUCUCAAGGCUGGAAGUCCAAGAUCAGGGUGCCAGUGUGGCUGGAUUCUGGUGGGGCCCCCCUUCCUGGUUUGCAGACGGCCGCCUUCCCACUGUGUCCUCACACGGCAGGGUGCGGGGAGAGGGAGAGAUGUUUGGGGUCUCUUCUUUUCCUGUUUGUUAAGAUUUACUCUUGGAUGUGGACCAUUUUUAGUCUUUAUUGAAUUUGUUACAAUAUUGCUUCUGUUCUAUGUCUUGGUUUUUUGGCCAGGAGGCAUGUGGGACCUUAGCUCCCUGACCAGGGAUCGAACCCACACCCCCUGCACUGGAAGGUGGAGUCUUAACCACUGGAUGGCCAGCUUACGGGAUCUUAGUUCCCCGACCAGAGACUGAACCUGUGCCCCCCGCAGUGGAAAUGUGGCAUCCUAACCACUGGACCACCAGGGAAUUCUAUAAAGAAUUAUUAAGUAGAACAAGACAAGGUGGCUAAUUCCUAACAGGUAAAGUCCUACCAGGUGGUUAAUUCCUUAAGAGGACCCUGAGGAGUCCAGAGGUAAGAGGUAUGAAAGAACAGCUGCUGCUUCUCGGCUGGGCAAGAGGGGGCAAUGAAGGAACAAAGGAUUAGGACAGGGACCCCUCCCACACAGCUGUCCCGCAGGAACCCGCAGUCUGCCGGGGGGAGACCAGAGACUAAGACAAAACAAGACCUUCGCCAGGCUGUGGGCUGGCACUGGUCUAUACAGCGGCCACUAUUCCUGGAGGAUGGGCAGGCAGGCGCCUGGCCUGGCCAGAGGGUGCGGUGCAGGGGGUGCUGGUCUCAGGAGAGGGUGUGGCUGGGCCAGUGCUGGUCUGAGAAGAGGCAAAACACAGAGCGGCCAGCGCGAUGUUGAAGGAGGAAGCAAAGUCAGAGGACUGACGCUCCUACUUAAGACUCGCUGUAACGCUGCGGUAAUCAGGAGAGGGUGGGACUAGGGGAGGAGCAGUCAUAGCGGUAGAGUGGGGAGCAGGGCCCUGCCUAUGGCCGGAGCUCUGGUCACCCAUCGGCCCUUCACUGGCUGCAUGGCCCUGGGCAGGUCACGUACGGUUUCUGAGCCUCAGUUUCCUCGCCUGUAACAAGGUGAGAGUGAUGCCUACUCCAUAGCGAGGGACCUAAAUCCGGCGAUAAAUGGAUUUUAGCGCUGCUGCUACACGUGCCGUCGGGAGCCAGCUGUCGGGAGCCAGCUGGGAAGCUAGUUCACGGAGAAGUGCAGGGACCUUCCACAGGCAGUCAGCACUGCCUUGAGCACCUCGGAAGCUUCCUGCCUGGACGCGUCUGAAAGGACCAGGAUGAGGUGUCACCCGGCGCAGGGUCCCUCAGCACCCCUGCGGGGCCUCCCACCUGCCCUCAAGUGACCAGCUGCCCGGUCCAGGUGGGCAUUGCCGCUGGGCCCAUCCUCCACCCCGGGGUCUGGAGCCCACCGGCUUCCCGGCCCUCCAGCUGAGCCUUCUGAGUGUAGGUAUGCAAUCAGAGUGGUCUAACCCCAAACUUCUGCUUCCCAAGGCCAUUUCUGCCUGAAAGUAGGCAUUUCCUACCGCGCGGAACGUGCCCCUGCUGGAGCCUGGGAGAGGGGGUGGUGCGGGCGCCCCGCCUGGGUCCUUGCUCCUGCCUGGGCAGAGCAGGCGUGAAAUUGUCCUCCUCCACCUGCAGGCCGUCACUUCUGCAUCCAGACGUGGGUCUGAGCGGGGGGUCCUCAGAGGCAGGAUGCUGUGUCACGCAGUCCUCGUCUGCUCUCUAGCCGCUGCCUGAUGGGCAUGAAGGACCCUUUAAGAGGCCUCGAUGGGGGGUUGGGGGCUGUGUGGACAGAGCUGCGAGUUAAGUGCAGGCAGCUGUCACUUCAAGCCGAGCAGCGGUGGGUGAGCGCCUCCCUGACCUGGAAGCUUUUCCCCACAGCAUCUUCUGCUGCAUGGAGCUGCUGACUCAGAAACAGAUGUCACAAAAAGCACAGUAAGUAAGUUCCACGUUCGGAACUGCCAGGCUGUCGUAAAAGAGAAACCGAGGCCAGAGCAAGCCGGACCGGCCAGCUGAGGCUGCCAUGGCCCAUGGGCAGGCUGGGAUGGGAGCUGGGUGGAGGAGGAAAGCCACAGACUUACCUGCACCUGUGCUUUGGGACCCUGAAGGCCCUCCUGGGGGCUGCAGAGGGAGGGAGGGCCGGCCCCCGAGGAUGGCGAGGGAGGAUUCUGGCUGUGCUUCACCACAUGCACCCCCGUCCCCUUUCCCUCACCUCCCUGGCCCCCACACCCCGUUCCCAUCCCUGGGCCGAUGGGAGGAGGACCACUUACACUGUGGGAGAGAGGGGACCCUGAGUCUCCUGGACUCAGCCGCUGAAUGGCCAAAGGCACUUCAAGUGAAAGAAUGAAUUGGUUCCUACCUCUGCUAGCUACCGACUUGGGUCUGAGAAACCCCUUUAUCCACCGUAAUCUUCCUGCCAGCAGGUUCACUACGGCUCUCUGGUUUCGUGCUUCACCUUGCUGAAGACUUUUGAGUACUUUUCUUUUCUCCCAGAAGCAGAAUGAAACGCGCACAUACCAACUGGCCCUCUGGUGUUGGAGGUCAGGGUACCUGUGCAGUCACGGAGCAGGCGGGCUUGUUCCAUGUGAGGUUUCGGAGGAUUUCUUCUGAACCAGUGGCUUUGAUUCUAAACACGUUACAGCGUGGAAAUCUCAACUGAGCUGCCUCGGUAACAACACAGCUCCGUCGAGGGCACGGUGGGUGAGAUGAGAUUAUCAUCUCUAAGUUCCAGUCUCUUUUGAAGCCACAACCCACCUGGGGAGGCCGACAAGCAUCGGCAGGAAGUUGCCCUGCAUCCACCAGGCGCGCGGGUUCUCAGCGCCGGGCUCGAGGAGGUGGACGCCUCAGUUCUGCUCCUGACCCUGAUCUACUCCCCACGCAAACCCUCCGCGUGGCUGGGCUCCUCCCAGCUGAGCGCACUCUCUGUCUCCUGCCCUGUCCGCUCUGCAUCUCGGGGGCCUGGCCUCGUUCACUCUGAGCAGUAAAGUCUUCCAACCGAGGUGCACCAAGGGCCGAAGCUUCCGGGCAGGCUGGCGUUCGAGAAGGAUUACGUCGCCGUGUGUGCUUGGAGUCCCUGGAGAAACAGAACCAAUGGAGCCAUGGUUUCGCGUUGGAACCUGGGAGCAGUCAGCGUGGAGCUUGUGAGAAGAGAUUGACCUUCUGAUAAAAGAAUGGACUUGCUUGUGGACCAGUAUCAGUAAUUCACCUGUAUUUUCUUCACUCAAGACCAUGUCAGUUCUCCAGCUCUGGAUUGCAGUUUAGCCUGCAGAGACCUUGGUUGUCUCCCUUCUCACCCUGAGAUCUUGUUGUGUGAAGUCAGGAGCCGUGGCAGCCAGUGUUCAUGAAACAGUGACUCUGCAAGUAGAUAAAACAUCAGACCCUUCCCAGGUCUGGAUGAGAGUCUGGGAUUCACUGAGCCACUGAAUUCCUUCACCCUGCAACUCCCUCCCUCCAUGCAAAGUCCUUAUAAUUUCAGCCACUGUUCUUUGAGUAAUUUAAGCCUCUUUCCUUGCAGCCAAAUGCAUCUGUGGAAGACAGAGUGGAUUGGGUCCGUCAACUCCACUUCCCCUCCCAGCCACAGUCGCAGCCAGCAACCAGCAUCGCCUGCCAGCCCCGUGAGUGGGCAAGACCCCUUCAGAGGACUCGAGUCCCCACCACGAACUGCCACAGCUGACACCCGCUGGGGCAGGGACGUCCACCCCCUCUGAGAUCUGCCGGCCAAAACUGCAGAUCUGUGAGCAAAAUAAAUGUUUUGAAGUACUUUUUCCUCGCUUUUUCUUGUUUUGAAGUCCACUUUGUCUAACAUUAAGAUAGUCACUCUAGGGGCUUCCCUGGUGGCACAGUGGAACCCAUGUCCCCACCC
Molecule: long non-coding RNA, 6620 nt
Organism: Balaenoptera acutorostrata (minke whale)
Lineage: Eukaryota; Metazoa; Chordata; Mammalia; Artiodactyla; Balaenopteridae
Exons: 3
Source: RefSeq, a predicted model, not a curated record